RNAcentral lists this ribosomal RNA (214 nucleotides) under uncultured archaeon. RNAcentral's name for it is "partial 16S ribosomal RNA". It matches the Rfam family "Archaeal small subunit ribosomal RNA", at positions 513 to 725 of the family's 1478-position model. The record is from RNAcentral.
AAGCGUCCGUAGCUGGCCAGACAAGUCUGUUGGGAAAUCCACGUGCUCAACGCGUGGGCGUCCAGCGGAAACUGUCUGGCUUGGGGCCGGAGGACUCGAGGGGUACGUCCGGGGUAGGAGUGAAAUCCCGUAAUCCUGGACGGACCACCGGUGGCGAAAGCGCCUCGAGAGGACGGACCCGACAGUGAGGGACGAAAGCCAGGGCUCUCGAACC